Cucurbita pepo subsp. pepo (vegetable marrow) is the source of this 2595-nucleotide RNA transcript. RefSeq lists it as uncharacterized. Lineage: Eukaryota; Viridiplantae; Streptophyta; Magnoliopsida; Cucurbitales; Cucurbitaceae. The record is from RefSeq and is a predicted model, not a curated record.
UCGAGUAAAGCUAGGUUUGCCAGUUUGAAGAGCCAAAUACGGGGUUGGUAAAAACUUCUUCUCUUUUUUUAUCGUUCUCUCUCUGUUUCUGGCGACUGUAGCUUCAAUGGCGGUUUCUUCUAGAAGAUCGAGCGGGCCUGUUAUGAGGUCUCUCUCACCUUCUGGGAGAUUCUGUGGCUCCUAUUCUUCUUCUUCGUCUUCGUCUCCGUCUUCUUCGUCAUCGGCGUUUGCGUCUUCCACAUCAAGCUUUUCCACUGAAAACCCUACUUCGUUUUUCCGUAGAUCUCUGUCUCCGUCUCGUGUUCAUCUACAAGGUUCUUCUUCUUCUACGUCGGCGUCGUCCGUGAGAUUUGCACUGGACCGGUCUAUUUCUCCGAAUCGGCAUAUCUCUGUUUUGACUCGUGGCGGUGGGAAUCAAGUAGUGAAGAGGCAGAGCAACCAGAAGAGGACGUGCUUGUGCUCUCCGACCACGCAUCCUGGUUCGUUUCGGUGUAGUCUCCAUAAAGGCGUUCCGUCGCAGCCUACGACUCCUUACUCGUCUAAUCGACUCAACGCGCGGAGAUCGGCGAUGACGAACUCUUUGGUUAGAAUCGGAGGAGUUGAAGGCGAUUUAGUGAGGCGGGCCCUGGCGUCUCUUAUCCGACCUUCGUCUCACAGUCAAAGGCGUCGAGCGGAUUUCUGUCCGCGACCGAGCCGGCUUUCAAUCAUGUCGAAAGCCGAUGAUCUGUGAUGGAAAUUUUGGGCUUCUAAUUCGAAAAGGAACGAUUCAAAAUUAUUUGCGCCUGCUAAUCGCUGAAAUCAGUUCAUCGUUAUCCAUAUUCCAUACGAUUCAAAUUGUUUCCAGAACACCUAUGUUUGUUAUUUUGUUCAACGUACACGUCUCCUUCCUUCUGCUGUCGCCUCCGUUCAUGGUGGCCGUGAAAUUGAAGCCGGUAAUUUACGCAUUCAUGCUUGCCGUACUCCGUUUUGUCAAUCGGAUGAUUUCUUAAAGAUGCAUUUGAAGGUUGAAACCUAAGAGCUCUGAUUUUGAACUGUGAAUUUUGUGAUCUGAAAGUAAAUUCAGGUGGAGAUGAUUCAAAUUUGAAUGAAGUUAUGAACUAAGACAGACGAUGGAAUUCUUGACAGCGACUGAACAAUUAUAAUUGGAAUUAAUUGGAAACAAAUCCUGGAAUUCAAAAAGGUAAAUAACAUCAGAGCUGAGAUGAAGUUAGAAUGGAAUAGAAAAGAAUCGAAUGAAACAUUGAAUGGUAGGGUAACUCGGUGGUGCGGUGGAGUGGAUGGUUGACCUGUCAAGGCUCAAAUGGGUGGAAGGAACCGACUGCUAUCUGCCUAUGAAAAACCAAUCCAAAUCCCUAUUGAUUGUUCAUAAAACUAUUCAAUGGAAGAAUGCCCCUUUGAGAGAUGAAGAGCUGCCUAUGUCAGGAGAUGUUACAUCUUUUUUGCCGAAGGAAACUAUGAAGGGAUGGUUAAAAAGUGAAAGGAAAUUCUGAUUGAGAUGGUUUCUCACGUUAACCCACAGGGAAUGAUCAUGAAUUUGCUCAUUGGGUUGGUAUGAGGCCUUUUGGAAAAGCUCAAGAACCAUAUGAAGUUUUUGGAAAAGCUUAAAGACCAUAUGAAGCCUUUUGGGAAAGCUCAAAGUAAAACUUUGAAAGCUUAUACUCAAAGUGGACAAUAUCAUACCAGACGUAAUGUUAGAAAUAUUGGUUCCGGUAGGGAUUACGAGUAUUUGGUCUCAGGGAAUUGAGUGUAAGACUAGUAGGUGGAAAAGAAAAGAAGGAACACACAAAAGAGGAUAAGACGAUAAUGAAGUGAAUAAGUGGCGGUCUUCUCUUGUCGCAUUAUCAUUAUCGAGAAUCCCACUUUUACCAAUUCUGUGGGCAGAGAAGGACCAGGAAGUUCACCCACCCAUCACCAUUCUUAUGAGGUAUGAGUUCUUUUCUAAGUCUCUAAACUUUAGAAUAUUCUCCAUCUUUGUGAAGUCUUUAUCUUCCUUUCCUAUUUCUUGUAGACCUCAACCCCACACAUUACGCGUCCGACACUGACCCUCUUCAAUUCUCCUUUUCAUUUUUCUAGUACCAAAAUUCCCACCAAAAAGCCACCCAAUCUCAAUCCUGUGUCCCAAUGUUCACUCCACACACACACACGCACAGCGAUUGCGACAACUAAAAAAGAACCCAUGAAAUUAUGGGACUCCUGAAAUCUGUUUGGUUCACUCACUGUGAUCUGAAACUAAAACCCCACUUAGAGAGACUUUUCAAGGGCUUUGGGCUGUAUAUUUGGGCUUUAAUUGUCCGCUUUUUAGUGGGCCUUUAAUCCUCUGGUCCAAUUUUCAAGCCCAUUCAUAAUGCAUGUAGGCCCAACACACCUUUUGAACACCUGAAAAUUCUAUAAUUGAUAUAAAAAUAUAACAAAAAUAGUAACUAAGAAGUUAACUUAAACAUUUUAAACAUACCCACAAAAAUCACAUACAUAUCCAUGACCUUUUAGUUGAGUCGAAAAUAUAUACCUAAACUUUGUUAGACAAACACAACUCUCCACAGUGAGAUGAUAUUGUCCGCUUUGAGCAUAAGCUCUCAUAGCUUGGCCGCUUUGAGC